Molecule: ribosomal RNA, 327 nt
Filed under: uncultured eukaryote
Lineage: Eukaryota
Description: partial 18S ribosomal RNA
Rfam family: Eukaryotic small subunit ribosomal RNA
Source: RNAcentral
CCCUUAGAUGUUCUGGGCCGCACGCGCGCUACACUGAUGAAUGCAACGAGCUCUACCCUUGACCGAAAGGCCCGGGUAAACUUGUGAAACUUCAUCGUGAUGGGGAUAGAUUAUUGCAAUUAUUAAUCUUCAACGAGGAAUUCCUAGUAAGCGCGAGUCAUCAGUUCGCGUUGAUUACGUCCCUGCCCUUUGUACACACCGCCCGUCGCUCCUACCGAUUGAAUGGUCCGGUGAAAUCUUCGGAUUGCUGACCAAGAUCCAGCAAUGGAGCUUGGUUGCGAGAAGUUGAUUAAACCUUAUUAUUUAGAGGAAGGAGAAGUCGUAACA